CACUGACUUCAUUCAUAAGAAAUCUACCCUCAAAACCUCAGCUAAUUCUAUUGCCCUCUACAAACCAUACUUCUAAUGCAAGUACGUUCAUGCUUAGGUAGCAUUCAGUUUGUAAGUGAUAUUGUACUAGAUUGAAAGAUAAUCAUACAUUGAGUCCUUUCAUGAGGAUCUCUAUGCUCUCUGUGCAGGCUUAUGUCCAACAGCUACCAGAAUUUUCUAGCUUUCAUUUUUGCUAUAGAAAGGAUUAGCAGAAAUCUUCAUCUUUUACCCAAGAUACCUCUAAAAAGAUAUGAGUUCCAUAAUUUCCUGACCAGUCACUGGAGAAUUUCCUUCUUUUGCUUGCAAGACAGGAUGGGAUUCCCCAGUUAGACUUGCUUAGGAGAAAGCAAAUCUGUAGCAGUAUUAACAGAACCAUCAUGGGCAGCUUCUGCUCCAACAGGAACACUGCUGGAACUCUACAAAUUUACCACAGGCAAGGUGAAGAAUUGUACACCUAAUGCCUCUUUGGCAUGGUUACCUGUGAAUCAUUUUGACGUGACCAGGAAGUAGGAGUCACAAUGCUGUAUUUCCAUUCUGUACAUAGUGAGAGUUACAGUCCUGGAUUUGGGGAAACUCCGUAGGAGGGAAAGGCUACCUGUUAUUUUGAUAGCACCCCUUGUCCAGAAAAUGGGAUUGCCAUGCUACUGGUAAGAGCAUCUCCUCUGGACCAAUCCUCGUUUACCCUGAGUUUGCUCUACUCGGCACAGCCCUCCAUUAAAACGCACCUGUUCUGUCCCUUAGCCCACACUCUUUCUCUCAUCUGCCUUUUUCUUUGCAUUUCUCUUCCUGAUAUGGGGG
This 837-nucleotide long non-coding RNA is filed under the name Heterocephalus glaber (naked mole-rat). RNAcentral's name for it is "lncRNA (ENSHGLG00100035205.1)". The record is from RNAcentral. Lineage: Eukaryota; Metazoa; Chordata; Mammalia; Rodentia; Bathyergidae.